This 253-nucleotide ribosomal RNA is filed under the name uncultured bacterium. Its description in RNAcentral is "partial 16S ribosomal RNA". It matches the Rfam family "Bacterial small subunit ribosomal RNA", at positions 524 to 776 of the family's 1533-position model. The record is from RNAcentral.
UACGUAGGGGGCAAGCGUUGUCCGGAAUCAUUGGGCGUAAAGCGCGUGUAGGCGGCUGAGUAAGUCUGCUCUGAAAGCCCGGGGCUCAACCCCGGGAGGCGGGUGGAUACUGCUCAGCUCGAGUCCGGAAGAGGCGAGUGGAAUUCCUGGUGUAGCGGUGAAAUGCGCAGAUAUCAGGAGGAACACCAAUGGCGAAGGCAGCUCGCUGGGACGGUACUGACGCUGAGACGCGAAAGCGUGGGGAGCAAACAGG